CUUCGUCUUCUUCUCCAACUGGUUUCCAUCCAAAUCUUUCGUCUCACUUGAUUUGGAAACACUCUGGGUUCCAGCUCCCACUGUAGCUUUGACUUGUAAAAGCCCCUUCUUUUGGUUGUUUGCUUUGCUUCUAAAAUGGUAAUUGAAAUGUAUACAAGGCGAGGAUUCUAUUGGAAUAUCCUUAGAAACGGAAACUGGAAACUGAGUUCCUGAGAAAAGAAUUGCUGAAGGCCUUUGAAACAAACUUGCUGCCAUUCUUCUACCAAAAAAAGAAAAGACUUUUCAACUUUUAAGGCCAAAAAACCAAGAAAUUUGGCUUUGCUUAUGUUCAAGGUAAAUGGAACAGAUAGAUACUGGACAUGGA
Molecule: long non-coding RNA, 364 nt
Filed under: Gossypium barbadense (sea-island cotton)
Lineage: Eukaryota; Viridiplantae; Streptophyta; Magnoliopsida; Malvales; Malvaceae
Description: long non-coding RNA (GBAR_LNC020781)
Source: RNAcentral